Molecule: long non-coding RNA, 712 nt
Organism: Neopsephotus bourkii (Bourke's parrot)
Lineage: Eukaryota; Metazoa; Chordata; Aves; Psittaciformes; Psittacidae
Exons: 2
Source: RefSeq, a predicted model, not a curated record
CAGCCCUGAGGAGAAGGACUUGGUGGUGCUGGUCAAUGAGAAAAUGAACAUGAGCUGGCAGUGUGCGCUCACAGUCCAGAAAGCCAACCAUAUCCUGGGCUGCAUCAAAAGAAGCGUGACCAGCAGGUCGAAGGAGGUGAUCCUGCCCCUCUACUCUGCUCUUGUGAGACCUCAUUUGGAGUAUUGUGUGCAGUUCUGUAUUGCAGGCAGUUCUGGUGUCCUCAACAUAAAAAGGACAUGGAACUGUUGGAACAAGUGCAGAGGAGGGCCACGAGGAUGUUCAGGGGACUGGAGCACUUCCCAUAUGAAGACAGGCUGAGAAAGUUGGGGUUGUUCAGCCUGGAGAAAAGAAGGCUGCGUGGAGACCUCAUAGCAGCCUUCCAGUAUCUGAAGGGGGCCUAAAGGGAUGCUGGUGAGGGACUCUUGAUCAGGGACUGUAGUGACAGGACAAGGGUAACGGGUUAAAACUUAAACAGGGGAAGUUUAGAUUGGAUAUAAGGAAGAAGUUCUUUACUGUGAGGGUGGUGAGGCACUGGAAUGGGUUGCCCAAGGAAGUUGUGAAUGCUCCAUCCCUGGUGGUGCUCAAGGCCAGGUUGGACAAAUCCUUGGGUGAGAUGGUUUAGUGUGAGGUGUCCCUGCCCAUGGCAGGGGGUUGGAACUAGAUGAUCUUAAGGUCCUUUCCAACCCUAACUCUUCUAUAAUUUUAUGAUGA